GCAGACAGGACAAGGCAGAAUAGAUCCGCGGGUUGUGGGUGAUUCAUCCAGGUUUACGGCGUAGUUGGUUACUUUUAGCAACUCUUUAGGGACACUGUAGCAUGAGGCUGUGCGCCAUUCUACGCCCCCGAAACGGAGGGCCAAUUGGCUCCGGCAAGGAUCUUUCUUUCUUCUCGCACUUCGGGCCAUGACAGAUGAUGGGGAACACGAAUGCCAUAGUUAACGGAAACCGCCAUAUGAUUAUCGACUGGUGCAAUCAGUCUUUGCCCGUAUUCCCAGGCGUUCCUUGUGGCCAACACGCGACCGAUCUCCGAGGCAGUGUUGAUUGUGUUGGAUGAAGAAGCAAUUCGACCCUGAGAUCAAGUGUUCAGGCGCAUCUGAGGAUUCAGCGGAAGUUCCCCUUUGUUUCAUUACGAGAACAACCCGAGAGUGCGCCUUUUCCUUCUAACAACGGAACUAAUCUCCACUAUCCUGACCACCAACUUCCCAGAAGUUGGCCCUUUUGUUCUCUCUAUUGUUUAAAACCCACACAUUUCUCGCAAUCUUGAAACCUCAAUUACGAUAUCUCCGACCCAGUAACAGAUACAUAACUUGGACAUAUUUUAAAUUUUUAUUUUUUAUUUUUUUUUUCCCCCGUAGUAUAGUUAUCUUGUCUUUAUUCAUUGCGAUCGCUCUCCUUCGUUUGAAACCAUGAAAUUUUCGUACGGCCUUGCGCUUUGCACGCUCCUGUCGUUCUCCUCCACAGUCGCGCCGCGCAAUAUCAUUUCAACGGACGUCGAUGUAUCAGCCCUUGCUGUUCCAAACGCUUUUGACCCAUCCCUCAUCGCUGCCCGGUCCAAGUUCUCUGACCUACAAAAGCGC
RNAcentral lists this small RNA (861 nucleotides) under Histoplasma ohiense. Its description in RNAcentral is "hypothetical lncRNA". The record is from RNAcentral. Lineage: Eukaryota; Fungi; Ascomycota; Eurotiomycetes; Onygenales; Ajellomycetaceae.